RNAcentral lists this ribosomal RNA (497 nucleotides) under uncultured bacterium. Its description in RNAcentral is "partial 16S ribosomal RNA". It matches the Rfam family "Bacterial small subunit ribosomal RNA", at positions 28 to 507 of the family's 1533-position model. The record is from RNAcentral.
GAUGAACGCUGGCGGCGUGCCUAAUACAUGCAAGUCGAGCGAACAGACGAGGAGCUUGCUCCUCUGACGUUAGCGGCGGACGGGUGAGUAACACGUGGAUAACCUACCUAUAAGACUGGGAUAACUUCGGGAAACCGGAGCUAAUACCGGAUAAUAUAUUGAACCGCAUGGUUCAAUAGUGAAAGACGGUUUUGCUGUCACUUAUAGAUGGAUCCGCGCCGCAUUAGCUAGUUGGUAAGGUAACGGCUUACCAAGGCAACGAUGCGUAGCCGACCUGAGAGGGUGAUCGGCCACCCUGGAACUGAGACACGGUCCAGACUCCUACGGGAGGCAGCAGUAGGGAAUCUUCCGCAAUGGGCGAAAGCCUGACGGAGCAACGCCGCGUGAGUGAUGAAGGUCUUCGGAUCGUAAAACUCUUUUAUUAGGGAAGAACAAAUGUGUAAGUAACUAUGCACGUCUUGACGGUACCUAAUCAGAAAGCCACGGCUAACUACGUG